RNAcentral lists this unclassified non-coding RNA (591 nucleotides) under Leishmania donovani. Its description in RNAcentral is "gene:unknown". Lineage: Eukaryota; Euglenozoa; Kinetoplastea; Trypanosomatida; Trypanosomatidae. The record is from RNAcentral.
CGCUCGCUCCGUCAGCGUCCCCUACGGGCUCUCGGACACACUAUAUCAGCGCGAUGGGUCUUUGAGUGCUCUUCGUAGGCCACCCUUGCCCACCUCCCCCCGUACCUCAUUCCUCUUGUGAUGCAUCAGUAACCCAUGCAACGAUACGCAGUCUGCGCUGUCCAUCUCAUUUUCUCUCUUGCUUAUCGCCGGCCUGGAUGGCUUGCGUUUUGUGACGGUGGGGUGGCCCGUGUAGGUGACGGGUGCUCUGCUUUGGUGGUUGUGGAGGUACACACGAUCGACUCACUCAUCCCCUACAGCGGGCUCUCUGCCAUCACUGUAUCUUUCAUACGCUGCGCCUGCCCAGCACCCCUCCCCCUCUCUCACUGCCUCCUGAUCACGUCCUCUGCGUCUUUGUGAUUUCGCUUCUCCGCCCGAAGCGCCGAAGCCUGGAGGCGCACCUGACUUACUUCAGCACUCAGUUAUACACUGCCUGCUUCACAUCCUCUGCCGGCUUCAUGGUCUCGCCGUCCUGUUCGUGAACACGGUUUCUCCUCAGAGCGGCUCGCUGCUGACAACCCUUCAUGCAAUCGUCUGCGUUCUUCGGCACAG